UACGUAGGGGGCAAGCGUUAUCCGGAUUUACUGGGUGUAAAGGGAGCGUAGGCGGCAGGGCAAGCCUGAUGUGAAAGCCCGGGGCUCAACCCCGGGACUGCAUUGGGAACUGCCCUGCUGGAGUGCCGGAGGGGCAGGCGGAAUUCCUGGUGUAGCGGUGAAAUGCGUAGAUAUCAGGAGGAACACCGGCGGCGAAGGCGGCCUGCUGGACCGUAACUGACGUUGAGGCUCGAAGGCGUGGGGAGCAAACAGG
RNAcentral lists this ribosomal RNA (253 nucleotides) under uncultured Eubacteriales bacterium. RNAcentral describes it as "uncultured Clostridiales bacterium partial 16S ribosomal RNA". It matches the Rfam family "Bacterial small subunit ribosomal RNA", at positions 524 to 776 of the family's 1533-position model. The record is from RNAcentral. Lineage: Bacteria; Bacillati; Bacillota; Clostridia; Eubacteriales.